CUCAUUUUGGUUUCUUGUUGCUUCUCUUGGAGAUUCUUGUUUAUCCCAAGCUGCUAUAACAUUUUCAUAAUUCAGUCUAAGUAACAUGUUUCUCUGCCUUGUAUUACUCUCAUAAUCUUCAAUUACUUCUGUCUUGGCUGAAAUCGUAAUGGCAUUGUCAUAAUCUUUCUUGCAGCUCAUCAGAGAUUGUCCAGGACAUGCUUCAGCUCCAUUAGUUUUAGUUGCUGCUUCUUCAAUGUAAUAUAGAUCCUCCAUUGCAUCGAUUUCAUCUUCAAAGUUGAAUUGUUUCGUUGUUUCUUGAGUACCAUUGUGGUUGGUCAAGAAGAAGCCCAUCUCUGUGAAUCCUUCGAACUCUGGCACAAGAGAAGUCAUAUCAUCCUCAUCAUCAUUUGGUUCUGGUAUGAAAAACAUUGCUUCACCUCCAAUCUCGGGAACACGAGGGUCUUCUCUCCUUCUCUCAUCUUCUUUCUUUUCUUGUGUUUUUUUCUCAGACCGGGAUCUAGGUGUUCUUGCUUUUCUUCUGAACCCGCUGUGCCAAACCGGGUUUGAUGUUGUUCCUCCAAGCACAUCACUCGGUGUUCGAAGACAAA
Molecule: long non-coding RNA, 590 nt
Filed under: Capsella grandiflora
Lineage: Eukaryota; Viridiplantae; Streptophyta; Magnoliopsida; Brassicales; Brassicaceae
Description: long non-coding RNA (CGRA_LNC000404)
Source: RNAcentral